GAAUAAUCUUAAUAUGUUAAAGUUAAUAUUAAAAAAUAAACAUAAAAUUAGAAUGCACUUAUCUUCCAAGGAAUGGAAGAAAAAGCGGGAGGGGUAACUUCAAAUGGCAACUAUCACAGUGGCCACAUCUGGGCCACAGGGCCCCAGCCAGGAAAUGCACAGUGACACCUUAACAAUGCUUCCCAGUAUCACCAAAGGGCUCACAGGCCCUCGGCACCAAGUCCACUGUGUCUAGGGAGCAAAUGGAUGCUGACUUCAUUCCAUGUCACCCCCAAAAUGCCAAGCUGCUCAGGGAACUGACGGGGUCUGAAGGGGCCACGCAGAACCCCCAGAAGUGGCAGGAAGAGGAUGGGCCAGUUUCUGACCAUCACCGAAGGCAGGCUGCCACAGCAGGAGACACUGGGAAUGCAGGAAAAAGCAGGUGAGGAGGAAGUUCAUGGGGAAGCCCUUGACCACAGAGGGUGUCAGGUGAUAGGAGGCCUUGGAGCCAGCCGUGGAGAAAAGGCUAGCGAAAGCCACAGGUUUCAAAGACUUGGAAAAAAAUCUGGGGCAACUCUGAAGGCAAGGGCUCAAAUGAGGAAGGCGCAGUCGCCAGAAAGGAAGGGAGGAGCACGGAGGCCAGGGCAUGCAGG
This 632-nucleotide long non-coding RNA is filed under the name Pan troglodytes (chimpanzee). RNAcentral describes it as "long non-coding RNA NONPTRT010345". The record is from RNAcentral. Lineage: Eukaryota; Metazoa; Chordata; Mammalia; Primates; Hominidae.